CAGAGAGUAACAGAGCCUGAGAUCCUCCAUCCACAUGACAAGGACAGUAACAGCAGCUGUAGUUCAGCUUCUCCACAACAUGCUUCAGAACUGUUCUGUAGAGACCAUUUCUAAUGGAGAGAAGGUAGUUCAGUAUCCAUUCCCAUUCAGUCCUUGGUCUUCA
Molecule: unclassified non-coding RNA, 163 nt
Organism: Gopherus agassizii (Agassiz's desert tortoise)
Lineage: Eukaryota; Metazoa; Chordata; Testudines; Testudinidae
Source: Ensembl